Rattus norvegicus (Norway rat) is the source of this 1610-nucleotide non-coding RNA. The record is from RefSeq and is a predicted model, not a curated record. NCBI's taxonomy places the organism in Eukaryota, Metazoa, Chordata, Mammalia, Rodentia, Muridae.
UGAGGAGGGCCAGCAAAGAGGACUGAGAAGCAGCAACUCUGGAGACUGAAAACAGAGACCAUUGUCUUAUGGGCAAGGGAGAAAACAGCACCAGAGUGAAGGGCAAGGUGUGUGAACAGCAGCCAAAGGGCCUCGGCACUAUCAGUGGGCCCAGAAACCCGAGGUGACAAAGGCGUGAUAGGAACAGAGAUGAGAGGUUGAGCCUGCUUAAAGGAGAUAGGAGGAGACCAGGGUAAAAGUGAAACACGGAGAACUUUCUAGAGCAGUUUUGUGGCAUUAGGAGCACACAUGAAAGUUUUGGGUAAAAUGGGGCCAAAAGAAGUUGCUUUUAAAACUAGAAGUCACUUCUGUGUCAUACGCUGAUAGGGACUACAGAGGAGGAAGACGUAGGAGGGAGUGGGAAAUGUGGCUGGAAUACUGUCCUUGACCGGCUGAGAUCGGACGGGUGAUUCACAGGUGGAGAGGUUGGCUUUGCAGAAGCACUUGCCACGUUCUUCCUUGAUGUGGACAAGGAAACAAGAGGACACAAGGGCGGGUGUGUGGUCUGGCCAUGAAGACAGGAAAGGAAGCAGGGUCAUCUAUCAGGAGGAUCGAUGAGGAAGGUGUUAGGGGUCUGAAGGGAGAAGUGAAGGUUCUCUUGGCGAGAGGGAGGGUGAUGUGUCAGGCCAUAGUGUGUGAUAACCCGUGGGCGUGGACCGAAGAUGAGAACAUUCAACAUUGGUGUGGCAUCCUCCUGCCCCCAAACAAGCAUGGAUAAAGGAAAAAGCGGACUUGACCGUGGGUGCGGUUUUACAAGGAGAUGAGGGGGGACAGAGGUGUCAAAGGGACCCAGAAGGGAGCAGUCACAUGGCUGACCACUGAAGACCCAGGAUGUGCCGGUUCAGCCUUGCCUACCCGCUGGCCGCCAAGCUCCAGAACCAGGGCAACAAAUAAAUACCACAACGACAGGGAACACUGCAAAGGACCUCAGGGGGACAGACUUCAGGCUGUUAAUGGAAGAACAGAACUGCAGAAAUGAAGAAACCUGCAUGUGUAGGGUCCUUCCCCUGGAGAGCCCUUCUGAGUGUGGACGUGCCCUUGUCCGUGAUGUUGUGAAGAAGCAUGAGGCAGAGGAGCAAGGGAGAUUUAAAGCUGUUAUCCAGAGCUUCCCAUCGACACGCCGUUACUCAUGCCUGCAGCCCUCUGUGCUGUAAAAGACAGUGACUUUAGGUAAAAUAGGAGAAUGUUACAAGGAUAGAGCCCAAGAGCUCGAAACCCAGGACGCAGGCCCAGCCUACCACGGGAUCAGGCUAGGAAAGCCCACACCAUAAACACCAGGCCUGCAGGAGACACCUGGACCACAGGACCCCUACAAAACCACUCAGCAGAGGAACCUGAAGGACUUCUGACUCAUCAGUCUCUCCACGCUGGCUCCCUGGCCCAAGCGAGCACAUGAUCCCCUUAAAGGCCUCAGCAUCCCAGCAUGAAUGUUGGGGCUCCACCCACAUCUCCACGCCCUGGCCCUUCACAGACCAACUUCAUGUUUUUCCCUCUAACCACCAAAGAAGCAUCCUACUGUCCAGUCGCGCUCAACCUGAGUGCAGAAGGCCCAGGCGGGUGUUAGCUGCCCG